This 499-nucleotide ribosomal RNA is filed under the name uncultured bacterium. RNAcentral describes it as "partial 16S ribosomal RNA". It matches the Rfam family "Bacterial small subunit ribosomal RNA", at positions 28 to 507 of the family's 1533-position model. The record is from RNAcentral.
GACGAACGCUGGCGGCGUGCUUAACACAUGCAAGUCGAACGGGCCCGCUCUCUUUUUUGGGGGUGGGUUGAGGGGCGAACGGGUGGGUAUCCCGUGAGUAACCUGCCCCCUGCUCCUGGAUAACUGCUUGAAAGGGCGGCUAAUACGGGGUGUGCCGGCUGGUCCGCAUGGGCCUGGUCGGGGUAGUUUCAUCUUCGGGUGUUUCGGUGGGGGAUGGGCUCGCGGCCUAUCAGCUUGUUGGUGGGGUGAUGGCCCACCAAGGCGGUGACGGGGAGCCGGCCUGAGGGGGUGGGCGGCCACACUGGGACUGAGACACGGCGCGGCCUCGUGCGGGAGGCAGCAGUGGGGGGGGUUGCAAAAGGGGCGGAAGCCUGAUGCAGCGACGUCGCGUGAGGGAUGGAGGCCGUCGGGUUGUGAACCUCUUUCUCCGGUGGUGAAGGGCCUGUCCGUUGAGGCGGGGUUGACGGUAGCCGGGUAUGAAGCGCCGGCUAACUACGUG